Molecule: transfer RNA, 71 nt
Filed under: Camelus ferus (Wild Bactrian camel)
Lineage: Eukaryota; Metazoa; Chordata; Mammalia; Artiodactyla; Camelidae
Rfam family: tRNA
About the family: Transfer RNA (tRNA) molecules are approximately 80 nucleotides in length. Their secondary structure includes four short double-helical elements and three loops (D, anti-codon, and T loops).
Source: Rfam by way of RNAcentral
GAGAGUAUGACUCAGUGGUAGAGUGUGUGCCGAGCAAGCAUAAGGUCUGGGUUCGAUCCCCAGUACCUCCA